GACGAACGCUGGCGGCGUGCCUAAUACAUGCAAGUAGGACGCAGGUGCGAACGGGUGAGUAACGCGUAGGUACCUAACUCUUAGAGGGGGAUAACUAUCGGAAACGAUAGCUACUACCGCAUACUAGUAGUUGGACCUGCGUUGUAUUAGCUAGUAGGUAGGGUAAUGGCCUACCUAGGCAACGAUACAUAGCCGAUCUGAGAGGUGGAGCGGCCACACUGGGACUGAGACACGGCCCAGACUCCUACGGGAGGCAGCAGUAGGGAAUCUUCUGCAAUGGAGGGAACCCUGACCGAGCAACGCCGCGUGAGUGAUGAAGGAUUUCGGGUCGUAAAGCGCUGUUGUUAAGGAAGCGGUACUUAACCAGAAAGGGACGGCUAACUACGUGCCAGCAGCCGCGGUAAUUC
This 407-nucleotide ribosomal RNA is filed under the name uncultured bacterium. RNAcentral's name for it is "partial 16S ribosomal RNA". It matches the Rfam family "Bacterial small subunit ribosomal RNA", at positions 28 to 526 of the family's 1533-position model. The record is from RNAcentral.